Molecule: ribosomal RNA, 783 nt
Filed under: uncultured bacterium
Lineage: Bacteria
Description: bacterial SSU rRNA
Rfam family: Bacterial small subunit ribosomal RNA
Source: RNAcentral
GGCGGCCUCCUGGAUCUGUACUGACACUGAGGUGCGAAAGCGUGGGUAGCGAACAGGAUUAGAUACCCUGGUAGUCCACGCCGUAAACGAUGACAACUAGCUGUUAGGAGACUAUGUCUUUUAGUGGCGCAGCUAACGUUUUAAGUUGUCCGCCUGGGGAGUACGGCCGCAAGGCUAAAACUCAAAUGAAUUGACGGGGACCCGCACAAGCAGUGGAUCAUGUGGUUUAAUUCGAUGCAACGCGAAAAACCUUACCUACUCUUGACAUACUUGGAAGCUCUUGUAAUGAGAGUGUGCUUUUAAGAACCAAGAUACAGGUGCUGCAUGGCUGUCGUCAGCUCGUGUCGUGAGAUGUUCCGUUAAGUCGGAUAACGAGCGCAACCCUUACCCUUAUUUGCCAGCGAUUCGGUCGGGAACUAUAAGGGGACUGCCGGUGAUAAACCGGAGGAAGGUGAGGACGACGUCAAGUCAUCAUGGCCCUUACGAGUAGGGCUACACACGUGAUACAAUGGGAGAGACAGACGGACGCUAAGCCGCGAGGUGGUGCUAAUCCUAGAAACUCUCUCGUAGUCCGGAUUGGAGUCUGCAACUCGACUCCAUGAAGUUGGAAUUGCUAGUAAUCGCGAAUCAGCAUGCCGCGGUGAAUACGUUCUCGGGUCUUGUACACACCGCCCGUCACACCAUGGAAGUGGAUUGCACCAGAAGUAGAUAGUCUAACCUUAGGGAGGGCGUUUACCACGGUGUGCUUCAUGACUGGGGUGAAGUCGUAACAAGGUAACCGUA